CCCGGCACGCUCGCCGCUACCCGCGAGCCCCGCUGCGGCCGUCCGCGGGCCGCGCUGUUCCUGCUGCGUCCUGGGCUCCGCGCCCCUCGGGAGCACUCCUGGCUCCGGGGGGAUCGGAUGAGUCUGCGAGGCUGAGGCGAGGGCCGGCCACACGGGCCACUCAGAAACGCCCUUCCCCCCAACUCGGGUCCCUAGGUCUGCUGGAGGAGGCUCCCGAGGCUGCCGGCUCCCCUUCUGCCGCCCCCGCCCACAGGAAUACUCACCCGAGCUUCACGUAGAGGACGCCAAAGCAGAGAAACACGUGACUCGCGGCCCCGGCAAGCGAGCUGCGAGCAGGCGAGCGCGCCCCAGGGUUGUCUGAUGCGGGUCUCGGAUCCGAUUCAUGUUGAUCAGCCGGAGUGGGAAGUUAGACUAGCUUCGGUGCCUGGCACAUCCUGUGUGGGUCUGGCUUGAUUCUCUCCUGGACAGGUGGGUGCCAGGGACCCUGCCUGCCAAAGCUAGGUCUGUCCUAUCUCAGCGGACCAGCUAGUAAUCAGAUACCUGCUGGGGGGCCCAAACCAGGUUUCCAAGUGUCUUCAGUCCGGGACAGCAUCAAAUGGAGCCAUUAUGAUAAGGGAAAAGACUCGGCAGAGAGCGCUCAGUCUUUAAGGACUAGCCAGUACCCAGUUGCCUGGUGUGGAAAUGAGGGGUAUGAGGGGGUUCUGUCCUCAGGCCUACAUAGCCCAGCUCGGCCAGGAACCUCGAGCUCAGAAGCUAUCUUCCCAGCCCCUAAUCCCCUUUUAAUCUCUCCAAAUCCUCCGAACUGUUGCCAUGACCUGGGAAGAGCCACUCCUGGGCCCCAGGUUCAGAGGCCAGCAGGUGCAGCUGUGCAGAACGUUUUGGGUUGGAAGACCCUGUAGAAAGGAGACUUUGGACAUCACGAGCAGGGAAACUGAGGCACAGACAUAAAACAGCAGUAUCAGUCCCACCCCGCAGUCUCCUGAAACCAAGAACUCUGGACGUCGCACAACUUCGUGGGCAGGGAGCUGAGCUGGGCCCGAUGGCGGGAGCGAGCACAACUACCCGGGAUCUUAGCAGGCGGAUGCUGCCACCCCGUGGCGACAGGGAGCGACGCUUGCAGCCGGAGCUGGACUUGAUGUGCUUAGGGGUUCCCCACCAUGCCCGGGAAUGUGGGGAUCACUCCACCCAUCGCCGCCAACAGCCUCAGUCUUGGAGUCGGUUAGCGAGACAAAAAAAAAGAUUUGUGUGGCUGCAGCGGCGGAGGGGGAGGGGGAGCUGGAAUAGCGAGAUCAUCCCCACGUGCGUCCUCCAUUUGGGGCUUUGGGAUUCCCACCCCACCUCCAGCCGAGUCAGAUCCGGAGGCCUAAGGGUUGGUCUGGGAUUCUCCAAGAGGGAUGUGGCCGGGAAAAGUGGGUGCUUCUGUUGGUUGAUGGGAUCCGACCUGCUUUUAUGCCUUAGUUUCCCUAUAACAUAAUGCAGGGUUGCUAAACAUAGCGCGGAGAGUCUGCAGCACAGCGUUGUGCUGCCCCCUGUCGGCAGCAGGUGGGAAGCGACAUCACCUAGGCUUUCUAGGGGGCCUGUAACCACCCACCAUUUGACCUUGCUGUUUAAAAAAGAGAUGGUUAAGGUUUGGUUCCAAGAUCCCCGCCACAACUAUUUGUGGGACAAAGUGGAGACUAACUUUUGUGGUGGGGGGGAGCUUCUCUCCAUAGGGUUAGGUUGGGAUUGUUAUGAAGAAGACCUAAGUCUCCAGAGCCAGGACAGCUCGAGGGCCUGGUUAUCUGUGGGUUCAGCCAGGCUGAGCUAUCCUUGCCUGUAUGACUUCAGGCAAAAUUUUCAACAUCUUCAGCCUGGAAAUACUCCUCCUCCUCUUCUUCCUCCUCCUCCUCUUCAUUCCUAUGCUCCAUGGUGUUAUUCUGAUGUGUCCACCUCCAAAUGAGUAAACAGUAAUGGGUGGAUGCAUGUCUGGAUGAAUGGGUAUGUGGGUAGAUGAUGCAUGAGUAGAUGUAUGCAUACAUGAAUGCAUGGAUGGAUGGAUUGAGAGGUAGGUGCAUGGAUGGGUACAUGGAUGCAUGGGUAGGUGGAUAGGAGUGAUGGACGAUGCUUGCAUUCAUAAAUGGAUGGUGUCUUAUGUGGGGUUUCUAUUGUUGUGAUAAAACACCAUAACCAAAAAUCAUCUUGGCGAAGUUUAUUUCAGCUUACAGUAGCACAUCACAGUCAAUCAUGGAAGGAAAUCAGGGCAGGAAUUCAAGGCAGGAAAGAGGUAGGAACUGAAGCAGAAGGGUGCUUGCUCCCCUUGGCUUGCUCCGCCUGCUUUCUUAUAGCACCCAGGACCACCAGCCCAGGAGUGUACAGGCACUGCCCUUGGUGAGCUGGGUCCUCCAAUAGCAAUCAUCCACCAAGAAAAGCCUCCACCAGCUUGCCCACAGGCCAGUCUGGGGGGGGGCAUUUUCUCCAUUGAAGUUCCCUCUUCCAAAAUGACUCUAACUUGUGUCAAGCUAGCAUAAAUAAGCCAGCACAGGUGGACCCUUUUCAGCUUGACACAAAAACACAUCACUGUUUGGCUAGAAUUUUCCCUUUCUCGUGUCCCUAAGGUGGCAUCAUAUUAACACCACAAUAUAAAACACUCCAACUUUGUUUUUGUAUCUGUUUGAGACAGAGUCUCUUUAUGUAGCCCUGGCUGGUCUUGAUCUCACAGAGAUCUACCUGCCUCUACAUUCUGAGUGUUGGGAUUAAAGGUGUGCACCACCAUGGCUGGUAAACAUUCUAAUUCUGAAAGGUUCCACGGUCCUUAAAAAUUCAAACACGUUACAAGUUCAGUCUCUUUAGACUAUCCAAGAUUUCUUUAAAAGUUCAAAGUCUCUCUAAAAUAUGCAAAGUAUCUCUAAAAUUCCAAAGUUUCUCUAAAAUAUCCAAUAACUGAAGGCUUCUGUAAAAUCAAAAAACCAAGCUAAAUACUUACUCCAAGAGGGGAGAGUCAGGGCAC
Molecule: non-coding RNA, 2986 nt
Organism: Peromyscus maniculatus bairdii (prairie deer mouse)
Lineage: Eukaryota; Metazoa; Chordata; Mammalia; Rodentia; Cricetidae
Source: RefSeq, a predicted model, not a curated record